GGACCAAGGAGUCUAGCAUGUGCGCGAGUCAUUGGGACUUGCGAAUCCUAAAGGCGAAAUGAAAGUGAAAGUCGAGCUUGCUCGGCCAAGGGAAGACGAGUGACUUCGGUCGCUUUGCACUCCCGGGGCGUCUCGUUCUCAUUGCGAGUUGAGGCGCACCAAGAGCGUACACGCUGGGACCC
RNAcentral lists this ribosomal RNA (182 nucleotides) under Atheta sp. 8 BT-2011. Its description in RNAcentral is "partial 28S ribosomal RNA". It matches the Rfam family "Eukaryotic large subunit ribosomal RNA", at positions 663 to 817 of the family's 3401-position model. The record is from RNAcentral. Lineage: Eukaryota; Metazoa; Arthropoda; Insecta; Coleoptera; Staphylinidae.